UCAGAACUACUAUGUUAAUCCUCGGCUUAACAAGGUCUACACUGCUGACCAGUAUGGCUUGUCCCUUGUCGGUUCAUUUACACGCUUUGUUAAGGAUUUGUAUGGUUUGGGGGCCAGGAAACUUGGGGUAACUUCACUGCCCCCAUUAGGUUGCCUUCCUGCAGCAAUCACUUUGUUUGGAUUUCACAAGCCAGGAUGUGUGUCCGGGAUCAACGCUGAUGUGCAAAAAUUUAAUAAGAGGAUCGAUUCUGCAUCUAAAGCUCUUCAAAAGCAACUACCUGGUCUUAAGGUUGUCAUAUUUGACAUUUACAAACCUUUGUAUGACAUUGUCAACUCUCCCUCAAACUAUGGGUUUAAGGAAGCAAGGAGAGGUUGCUGUAGGACUGGGAGAGUAGGGGCAACAGUGUUCUUGUGCAAUCCAACGACACUUGCAGGAACAUGUCCAAAUGCCACUGAGU
This is a long non-coding RNA of Tripterygium wilfordii, 458 nucleotides long. RefSeq lists it as uncharacterized. The record is from RefSeq and is a predicted model, not a curated record. NCBI's taxonomy places the organism in Eukaryota, Viridiplantae, Streptophyta, Magnoliopsida, Celastrales, Celastraceae. The transcript has 3 exons.